UUUACCCGUUAUUCCAAUAUCACACAGUUUGAUAAAUAAGCCACCAAGCCACACCCGAUCAAAUGCCUUUUCAUUAUCUAAGAAUGCACAGUAUACAGGCGACAUCCUUUCAUUGUAAUAUGCAAUGUUUUCUUUUAACGAAUUUUUAGUUCAACUUUGUGAUUAAAAUGAUCGAAUUUAAGGUUUUGUUAAACAAUUGAAAUACAGAAACAUUUUAUUUUAUUUCAUAUUUUUAUUGACACAA
Haliotis rubra (blacklip abalone) is the source of this 244-nucleotide long non-coding RNA. RefSeq lists it as uncharacterized. The transcript has 4 exons. NCBI's taxonomy places the organism in Eukaryota, Metazoa, Mollusca, Gastropoda, Lepetellida, Haliotidae. The record is from RefSeq and is a predicted model, not a curated record.